UACGGAGGGCGCAAGCGUUGUUCGGAUUCAUUGGGCGUAAAGCGCGUGUAGGCGGAAAGGUCAGUCUGGUGUGAAAUCUUCACCGCUCAACGGGAAGAGGUCAUUGGAUACUACCUUUCUUGAGGUCGUUAGAGGGAACCGGAAUACCUGGUGUAGCGGUGGAAUGCGUAGAUAUCAGGUAGAACACCGAUUGCGAAGGCGGGUUCCUGGGGCGAUCCUGACGCUGAGACGCGAAAGCCAGGGGAGCAAACGGG
RNAcentral lists this ribosomal RNA (254 nucleotides) under uncultured bacterium. RNAcentral's name for it is "partial 16S ribosomal RNA". It matches the Rfam family "Bacterial small subunit ribosomal RNA", at positions 524 to 776 of the family's 1533-position model. The record is from RNAcentral.